CCUUGGCCACCUCACCAUUCAGUUUCGAAUCUUCAAACAUAUAAGCAGAAGGCUAUUGAAACACUAUGCACUGUUUAUUAGUUCCAGCUGCAAAUUAAGGGUUCACAGCUAACGAGUUCUAUAGCGACACUAUAAAAGGUAGCACAUCUGUCCUAGACACUGCGUUCGUGUGCACUGCACUAAAAUAAAAUAAAGUCUGUUAAGUGGAAGAAGAAACAAAACGUGAUCAUGUUAGGUGUGACAGCAGCCGCCUGUACUUCCGCACAGAGGGGCAGUUUCAGAAACGGGCGUGCAUUGGUCCUAGUCCUGCGAGCAGAAGACCCCGGUUAGAAAUUGGAUCAUGUUUUUGCAUGACAUUGGAUGGUGCAUGAAUGACCUGCUUAUCAUGAAGCCUACUGUUGCUCGGAGCUUUGGAGAGGCAGUGGACUGUGAGUUGUGUUUUAGUAUUUGAGUAUAUUCUGUUUGUGCUGAUUUAUACCUUUGUGCAAUAUUCCCUGAGGGGAAAAUUUCUGCUCUUGCCCUCCUUGAAUUUACCCAGGGUGUUUUAUAUUGUUUCCAGUAUCAGUCAUGCAGAAUGGCUGUACACAUUUCAGACACACAGAGUACGUUAUGUAUGGAAAUAAGACAGCAGAAUGUGGAUUUAAAAAAACAAAAACAAAAAACAAUCAAUUUUCUGGUGUUCUCUUCUGAAACUCGCACAGUAUUUGCAAUGCCAGCACAGGACACUACAUAUAUAAAACAUUACAGCAGGCCUUGAAUUUGGAAAAUAGAUGGAGUAAAAUUUACCCUUGGUUGUAAAUAGUAAAAAUAGGUUGUCAGAUUUGCCCAUUUUGCUCCACACAUUCCCAUGAGGAUAGACUGAAAAUAGCCUGUUUUCUCUGUGUGACUUGCUUGAAGUUUAAAAAAACAACUUAAAGUGCUACUUAGUGUAGGAUUUAUUUUAGGGUUUUAAAGUGCAAAUUAGUAUAUUGAGAAUAUACUCGAAAUAUGGCACAGCUCAAUAUGAGUGUUUUGGUUGAAGGGAGGAAAAAAACAGUCAAAAUGUGCUUUCUGGAGUUUCACAAAUGCUGAGACACAUUAACUGUAGGCAGCAUCCUACACCUCGGUUGCACAAUGCUUAUUACCUAGACACUGUAAGGCAAUGGGUGGUCCUGCAAGUAAGUCUUUAAGGAAAGACAAAGUCAAUGGAUAAAGUUAAUUUCAGUGCUUCUUCUAGAUUUAUAUACUAUUUUGUUCUGAAUGCUACAUGAUACUGAUUAUAUUUGUUGCUUUGCAUGCAUGCACACACACGAAGAUGUAUAUGACACAUACUACACAUCUAUCUAUGCACUGGUAAUUGCAUACUCUGUCUUUAUUUGUAUUUAGUUAUCACUGGUUUGUCACUACCAAAACAGUCUUUUUUGCAAAUCUAACCUCUGCCUCCUUUCUUCUCUGUGUAGAAUUAGCCAAUUAUUUCCCCAGAGGGAGAGGUAGUAACAUUUUGUUUUGUGAGCAAUGAAAUAAACAGGUCUCUCAAUACAUUUAAAACACUAAAAAAAAAAAAAAAAAAAAAAACUAUGGGUGCAUUUUAAUGUUUGUAGAGGCUAAUUUCAAUACGGUACUAAAAUUUUAAGGUUGCAGUGAAUUGCAAUUGCUUUCUGUUUGUAAUAGUGCAAUUCAAAACCACUCUUGGCACAAAACCCUGGCACGGCUGCCAUGGAAACCACGACAUUGCAGGUACUGAGCUGCUGCUUUCAAAACCACGUAGCUGGGUUUGGGGAGAGCUGCUGGCCUUAUGGGGAUGAGCAAAGAACUGGGCUUCUUCAUAAGCCUCUGCUGCUCCAAGCAGAUGGCUCUAGUCCUGACGUGGGAGAGGCAGCUGUGUCAGCACGGCUGGGCACUGACAAAUCUGAGAUUCCCAUUGCUACACUUGAGCCUGGGUUUGCAGACUAAACUGAGUGAUGGAAGGGGCGCUGGUCUGUUUCUGGAGCUCAAAACGCCUCUGAGCAGGGUGGCUGCAAGUCAGGCUGCUCGCUGAUAACAGGCAUCAGUCCUUUUGGAAGCAGCUUUCAGGCUCCAUUGUGGUCGAAUGACAAGAAAGUUGACCUUCUUGGAAUUUAUUUCUUAAGCUGUGUUACAGAUCCCUAGCAACCUGAGCUGCAACUUGUUUGUGCAGCCUCCUCAGGGUUCUUUAACAUGGAUGAAUUUUUCUCUAUAUCUGUUGUUGAAAAUCCCCAACUUUACAAUUUUAUUUCUAUUUGAUAGAAAGAGAAUUGAGUAGCCGGAGAUGUGGACAAAUCACUGACUUGUCCCACUAACGUCCCUCGCCUAUUCCAUGCAUGGGCUAUGCCCCAGGAAUCACAUUCUGGAUAGCCCCGCUAAUCCUCAGUGAUGAUUUUGCAGAAUAUUUAGGAAGCAGAGAAAUUACCAGCACAGAAGACUGCAUCUGUUGCUGGUAGCUGGUAGGUGUUGAGUGGUUGUGUUCCAAACCACUGUCUGCAGCACCUAAUUCUGUGAAGGUGAGUUUCAACAAUCAUAUAAUAUUUAAUAAGUAUAUAGGUUGUUAUGGAAAUAAAGAAAACAUCACUGAUAUCAUCAGUCAACAGUGAGAGUUUUCCAUUCUUUUCAUUAGCAGAUCUACAUGCUGAACAAUUUGAGGAAUGAGGUCUAAAGAUGGAGUGAAAUUAUAUUAUUUGGCUGCUUUCUUAAGUUUCCAUUUGCGUGUUUGCUCUUUCGAAGAUUGACUUUGGCUUUGAGAGAAGUCCAGAUAAAGCAAAACUACCGAAACAAUUGCUGUCUGGUGACUACCAGCAUGGUCAUACUAAUGACGACUACUUCUAGGCGCUUAAAACUUCUAAGGCUUGACACCAAAUUCAUAAGAGUCUUUCUGUCCCUGCUAGCAGAAUCUGAACUAGGCUUGUAUAGCAUUUUUCUUCAGAUUGUACACUGUUUCAUGAAGAAUAGCUGAUGUUAUCAUCCCUGUUUUACAGAUGGGUAAAACUACCAUGUGGUGAAGUAACUAGCCCACUGCUAUCUAAGAGGUUAUUUACAAAAUCUUCUGACCCCCAGCAUGGCACCUCAUCUCCAUAAUCAUACUAUCUGUGAACACCUAGUUAACUGCACAAGUUUUAAGCAUUCUCCUGCAGAGUUUUGACUGAGAGGCUGAAAAAAGUGUUCAGCAGAUCUCCCAGGUGAGUAGCUCAUUUCACAACUACCUCAUUUGUGUGGUUUCCACUUGAUAGUUUUUUUGUUUGUUUUUGUUUUUAAUCUUCCUUCCUGUUUUCUUUGCCUCCAUUUGCAGGAAAGUAUGAUUAAAAUGCCUUGGGUGUUCUCAAGCAGACAGUUUAAAAUUGGGGGUAUUCUGAAAAACAACACUUAAGAUAGCUUCUGGAUUUUGCAUCAGUAUACUCUGCUUAUUGUGGAAAAGCGCAGUAGAGACUGCAUGCUGCACAGCUCUUCUCUUUUGUCAUAGCAUCAGUUGCAGACUGUCCUAGUGACUUUGCUGGCUUUAUUUAACUGGCUACAUGAUCUGCACCAGGUUCAUUGGCAUUGUACUAAAGAAAAUGGGGCCUUCCCACCCUCAGAUCAGAAACACAGCAAAUAGUAAACAAAGGUCUGUUUUCUUUGGUCCCAUUAGGUCACUGGCAAUCUCUUCCAGAAAGAAACAGACUUUCUUCCUCCCAGCCACCCUUGUUCAAGGAUUGAAAGAGACAAGGACCAAGGCUGAGCACUUACAACUUCCCUGAGAAGCUGUUUGCCGUCUCACAAAGACUCAGAGGACUUCAAGGGUCUGCACUCCUGCCCCAAGAGAAGGGGUUGACUAGCAGGAAGGAGGUAGGAGCAGUUGAGUGCAAAAACAGGGACAGAACUGAGAAAGGAAGUUGCUUGAAAGAUGAAGAUCUUUCUACUAGGGAGACCAUGUCUAACUACAGUUAAACUCCAUACCACCAUCCCAUGUACAGCUAAAAAUGAAUCUACAGCUUGUUUAGAUCUCAGCUGUGCUCUUAUAACCCUGAUCCCAAACUUGACAUUGCCAUUAUUACAGUCUGUGGAUAGUCCUGCUCCUGAUUGUGUGCGUUUUGGUUCUCAUUCACAGCUUGAGGGUCUUUGCUUAUUUUCAACCCCUGUUACUCUGCAUGGCUCCUAACAUUCAGUAGCUGCCUGAAGUCUCUCAUGAAGAGGGAUGUCCUUGAGGUCCCUCACGGCAGAAACCUUUAACGCACCUGGAACCCUGCUGGAAGUAAUGGUAUGUUGUCCAUUUAAUAAGUUAAUUACUCUCUUGUUUUUCACUCUCCUCUCAGUUUUCUCAUGAUAUAAAAGGGCUGUUAAUGUGGCAAACAUUAGCCAUGUCAUGCUGUGCUGGCAAUGGCAAACUUUCUUGGCAGGAUGGUUUUCUCUGUCCCUAAGGCUACUGAUAGAAUGAUACAGGAACAGAGGUGGCAUGGCCAAGAUGAGGGUGGAGAGCUGCUGUGCUCUGGCUUUUCUCAGCUACAAGACAUUUAGCUGGAAGUGCAAAGUGAAGUAGUUGCAGGGCUGCUAUAGUUGCUGGUGGAGGACAGACAAUUUCCCAUCUGUCUUUAUUCUAGAGAAAAUGCAAAAAUUUUGCAUUGCUUUUUGCAGCAUUGCUUUUGUCUGAUACUUCUAGUGCUGAGCAAAUGAUUAUGAUGAAGAUAAGGGUAUGAAUCCAAGUGUCUAAAGACAUUUCCUCUGAUCUGUGGAGGUUAAGAGCUGCUCAGCAUCUGAAAGUCCCCAUUGACUUUAUAUACCUCCAUUUCUCUCUGAGAUGUUGUGUAGAAAGUUGGUAUUUACAGUUCAAUUCCCUAUUCUCUCGAGUCUCCUUAAUUCAAAUUUCACACCAGUUAUAUCAAGUUGUGUUUCUUAUGGUUGCCUGGAUAGUGUUUACUGGCCAUUAGUAUUCAUUGGCCACUCAUCAAUUGCAUCAGUAUAAAUCUUUUUUAUUUUUAUACUAGACUUCAUCUAAACUCUGCUGUGCUUCUUCACUUUUUAAAGGAGGCUUAGGACAUAAUAGCUAAUUGGGAAGAAAAGAAACUGCAGACUGAGAAAAAUAAGCUUUUUCUUGAAUUAGUACAUGGCUAUAGUGAUUUCUGAGUUAGCGUAGAAUUUACUAGCAAUUAAGAAGAAGUUUAGAAGCAGUAAACUUCAUGUUCUCCCUCUAGAAAAUGAUCAGAGAUGUCUAUCAGCUAUUUUGUACCAUUCUUUCAAAGUAUUGUUGGGUAAAUGUGGGAGAUUGUAACAAAAUACCUUGGUCAGGACCUGAUUCAGCAAAAUAACAAUUAAGCUUGUGUGCCAGACCAUCUUUGGCUACAGAAAUCAAUUUUUAUGGGCUCCAGAGCUUCAUGCAGGAUUAAGAAGCAUGGAUCCCAUGGGUAGGGGCUCACUUUUGUUGUUGUUAAAGCAGGUCCUUAGAGUGAAAGGGAUAUAACUUCAUUAAAUUAUAAAAAGAAUUAUGGAGCAGAUGUAUUAAACCACAGACAAAGGAUGAUGAAAUGAUGGCUUGGACAGUAUGGAAGGAAGUAUAGCAUAAAGAACAGCAUAGGCAAUAUGGAUUUAAGCCUCUGAAAAUGAGUAAUGAUUCAUCAAUAUGGGCAUCACUGGUUUUCAAAAUGGCAGUGAAAAAAAAUCCUAAAUUGGUAUGCUUGGGAAUUUUUCUGCUGGAGAGUAAUAAAGAAUUAUUUUUUUUCCAUGCAGACUAUCUGGAAAAAAAAAAAAAGUAAUUUAACUAAGUAGUUCUAUUGUAAUACCGAGUACUUACUCUUUGCAUUAAUACCUUGCAUCAGGUUUUGUGUCACAACCUCAAUGAAGUUACCUAUAGUCUGUGACAUUCCUUGUUCUUUUGCAUUAAAUAACUGUAUUGUAAUCUCCUCGGCUGCCCAACAUGGAGCUCAGGUUGAUGGAAUUGGAGAAAAACUUCACAGAAUAAAAAGUGACAGUCUGUAACAUACACAAGUUGCAAGCAACGUACAGUAAUAACAAAUAAAUGUUAACAAACAGAGUGAAAGAGAGAAAGAGAAAAAGAGAGAGAAAAUGUGAAGAACAUGUAAAAGAAUUAACAGAUUCCUAUAUAACAACUCAGUUUUAGUUAUCCCAAUAUUCUAAGGCCAUUAAAAUAAUAAUUUAAAAAAUGUUGUUAGAUCUAGGUAUCUUUAUUAAAAUUUCCUGAUGUUUAUAUUACUGCAUAUUUUGAAAGUUGCUAUGAAGGUCUUCUGAGUAGAUUUCACACUGAUGGAUUUUUUGCUGGCGCAAAUGAGAGCAGAAUUCAGUAUGCUACAUGAAUAUGCAGAGGCCUUCCAACCCAACCUACCUCUUUCAACAUUUACUCACCACCGUGUUGACCUGGGUUCCUCCAGGAAGCCGUGUCCCCCAGUAAAGGCACUCCAGUGACGGUGGUGACCGCCUCUCCCAGAACUAACUGGCCAACAUAGUAACAUCACUCCCAGAGAAUAUCACCUUUGAGAGGCACUACUUCUUGAAGUGAGGUGACAGUAUGUUGGCUGCCUACCUACUGGUACCUCUAGAGGAAAUACAGGAGCUCUAAUUAAGUUGAUCCAGUAUAUUAUCACCUCUACAGGUAUUACUGAAUACGUGUUUAGUGCAGUGCUGAGAACUGUUGCUCCUGGAAGUGCUACAUUGCAAAGAGAGCUGGAAGAUCCCUCCUAGUUUUAUCCUGAUGCUUCUGGGGUUUCACUUAUACUCAUCCUGGCCUUCUGAGAUCCCACUAACAUCAGAUUCUGUAGAGCGUGGUGGGUCCUUGACAGGUCAGGUAGAGGUUGCAGGAAAAUGCAGUUGGGUGAGUCAUGCUACAGUCUUACGUUACCGCUCUGACUGAGGAACACAGUAUGAUGAUCUGUACAGUAUGGAAGGUGUCUGAGACAUGGAGCAUGGAUGAAUACAAAGAACAAUGACAGUGGGAAUGGUGAAUUGCUUCUUAUUUCGGCUUUGUGCUUAUAAACAGACAAGCAAAUAGGCAAAGUUUGGAGAAAAUAUCCAUCAAGUACAGAGUAAGAGGGAUAUAAGCUAGUGGGCUGGGCACAGAGCUUUCACCUCAUACCCUAGACCCUUUUUGCCCUGGCCUUUUGUAGUAAUGGGUAAAUCAUCCCAUUUAUCUAGUGCUAUUGCAGUAAAGGUGACUUUUGUUGUAUCUGUCCUACAAGCGUCAUUCAUACUUAAUCCAGCAGAAGGGAGAGAUGCCAAGAGUACCUCUUUGAUAUCCCAGGAAUUCACUCUGCAGUGGAUGGCAUGGGAGCUAUAGUGGCAGGCACAUGGUGUGAAAGGAUGCUUGAGAAAGAUGGUUUACCUUAUUUAAAGAUACCUAGUUCUGGAGGAUUGGCAGAGGGUGAUCUGACUUGGCUGGAGUGUCUCUAUCUGUUUACCUAUCUCUAAAAGUGUCUCGUGCUCAUUAAGUUAAGGCAUGAAAAGUCCUAAGAUUUAUUAGUUCUGCGAUUAUUUUUCAGCUAAGUGUAGCCCUGCCCCUUCAUAUAGUUGUCCACAGGGGACUGUGUAAGGUGAUUUUUUUUUUUUUUUUUUUUGGUGUCUUACAUAGUGCCAGAGAAAAGCAUCUAAGUGUCUGCUUUGGGGACUGACAGCAAAAGAAGAACAGUUUUGAAGGAAAUCCCCCAGACUUCUCUGCUGACAGGACAGAAGCCAGUCCAGACAUGCAAGGAGCUCUUUUUACUUCUAUUCUUCCAUUAAAUACCUUACCAUACUGCUGCACUGCUCUGGGGCUUUGUUCAAACCUUCCUCACUAGGGACUAGGCUGUGGCUACUGCUCACUGCCAUUUAAGUAACUGGAUGGCAAAACUCUUCAGCCAUCGUAGACCUGGAAUGGAUGUGGACCAAAAAGAAGGUAACCCUUUGUGCUUGAAUUCAUUGCUUUUCCUUUUUGCUUUCAGUUGACUUGGUAUAGAGAAUUUUAUUCUUACUCAAAUCAUAAUGUAAGCAAGCACUCUAGUGUAAGUGACACCCACUGAUUGUAUCUCUACAGGAAAUGACAGAUGAAUAAUUGUACAACAAAAAAUUACAUUGUAUAGCUAUGAGAUUGCAGAAAUGCCACACAAGGGGCAAGGAAUAGAUCCGAAUUGCUUCCACCUAAAUAUAGGCACUUAACUGAGGAUCUUAAGUCAGAGCUGCAGUCACCUGAGAUAAGUUAUCGAGAAAGCCACCUCUGGUGCGCAAUUCAGGUCAUAAAUCAGUGAAUUACUCUCUUAGACUGCCUAACUCUUCUUUCAACAUAAGGGGAACUUCAGGCAAAUGUAUUUUAAGUUGAAUGAGAAGAACUGAGCGUUAUUCCUAUUAUUUUGAGCUGUUACAAUUUCUGCAUUAGACCCAGAGGACCCAGCCUCCAUCUUCAGUGAUGUUAAGAUGCAAUCAUUACCUCAUUUGCUAUUUGGAGAGACGGAUUAUGGAGUUUUAAAAGCUAGGAAAGCUAAGUACCAGGAGGAAAGAAAAAACAUCUCCCUGUUACCUUAUCCUCUGCCUUUUAAAUAUACUUAAAUAUAUCAAAUGCAUACAAACAUCAAAGCUGUCUGAGCUGAAAAAGACCGGGACUCUUUUCAGUUACAUUGUUGUCUGCUCUUGGUCUUACAGAGAGGGUCAAAAGCUUUAUGACACUAAAAUUAGUAGAGUCAUAUUACUUUUUUUUUCUUUAAUGUUCAAAGGCAUUUGGUCAGAGAAUUCUCUUCCCUGUGAAUUGAAGAACCACCACAGUGACUGCCUACCCAUGGCUUUAACAACGGUUUGCUAUCUGCAAAAGAAAACCACUGAAGUUCACAGUCUACGGCUAUAUGUUAGGCAGCAUAAUGGGCCUGUGAGAAGAACUGCCAAGAGUCCCCAGCUCCCACUGAGCAUUGGCACUGGAAUUACAGUGCUCAGCACACUUCUGACGUUAGAACCAAUGUGUUCCACAAGAAAUACAGGUUAUUUAGGUUACAGUAACAGAAGGGAUGAAAAAUGAAGCCCUGAGAAAAGAGCAGUGCCUUCGGAAAGCAUAACUGAUAAAGUAAAAACAGGUAAUUCCACAAUAUUUCUUUAAAGGGAGAUCAGCUCUAUCUCAGUAAAUUGCAUUGAUAUGGUAAGUUCCUAAUGUCACGCUGGAGUCAUUAUAACAAUGUAGUUCCCCUCUGUCAGGGAUAGGAUGGCUUUAACUAUUCAGACACUGGGGUAGUUGUGGAGUGGCUUCUGGACAAUUGUUUUCUGGGCAGGCAAGUAAAAUAACCACGAAAGUUUUUCUGAAGCUAAAGAUUGUAUUAGUAAGGACAGAUAUUUUCCUUCUCUUAGGCUCCUGAAUUUAAUAAUAUUUUUUCCAAAUUUUUCAGAUAUGCAAUGAAUAGAGUAUUUUGCUGUCAAUACACUGUGAAAAAGUUACCCAACAUGUCUGCAUGAUACACUUGUAUGAAGAUACAGUAUCCAUGGGGUAUAGCUGAAGUGAAGCUGCAUGCAGAGUGGACCAGAGAGAAGGGAGAGACAAGAGCCGCAUUAAAACUGAAGAUUACGCCAAGCCUUCUUCCUGUGGGCUUAAGAUGCCAAGUCUCACCUGCAAAGACAGUCUGACAUUCAAGCUUGGAGGGAGACCAGUAUGGCAGUCAGUCAGCGAAGAGAAGCAAGAAGUUUUGGAUAUACCUGUCAGCUAAUCCAAAAGGAGACAGAUCUACUGGGUUUUACCACACGAGGUUUACUUCGAGAGAUUUUCAUUGCAUUGACCUGAAUGGGGAGAAAAGUGAGGAUUUUAUCAAGUGAUGCCAUGUGUUGUUGAGUUACACAAGAGCAGCUAA
Long non-coding RNA from Cygnus olor (mute swan), 9767 nucleotides. RefSeq lists it as uncharacterized. The record is from RefSeq and is a predicted model, not a curated record. The transcript is spliced from 4 exons. Lineage: Eukaryota; Metazoa; Chordata; Aves; Anseriformes; Anatidae.